GGGGACGACAUGGCUUCGACGCUGGUAACGAAACCAAAGGUGCAUGCCGAGAGCGUAACGAAUCUCGUAAAUUAAUCGUUACAAACAAUAGUCGCAAACGACGAAUCGUACGCUCUAGCAGCCUAACGGCUGCCAGCAUCCGACCCAAGGUGCUUGUACCACGGAAUCGGAUGUCAUUUAGAACAAGCUAGUUGGUUGAUUGGUUCCGAAUCAGCUUGCGAAACUUAAGGAACUCGCUGCUUGCACCCUGACCUUCGGGUCGCUUGUGGUCAAAUCAAUUGAAGGACACUAAGCAUGUAGAGCCGAUGGCAGAGGAUUGGCGGACGCGGGUUCAAUUCCCGCCGUCUCCACCA
Molecule: transfer-messenger RNA, 353 nt
Filed under: Oleiphilaceae
Lineage: Bacteria; Pseudomonadati; Pseudomonadota; Gammaproteobacteria; Oceanospirillales
Also listed under: 1 other name
Description: JACKOD01 sp024234505 Standard tmRNA
Rfam family: transfer-messenger RNA
About the family: Bacterial tmRNA, also known as 10Sa RNA or SsrA, is named for its dual tRNA and mRNA-like properties. Its role is to liberate the mRNA from a stalled ribosome.
Source: RNAcentral